RNAcentral lists this long non-coding RNA (1699 nucleotides) under Ananas comosus (pineapple). RNAcentral's name for it is "long non-coding RNA (ACOM_LNC025028)". Lineage: Eukaryota; Viridiplantae; Streptophyta; Magnoliopsida; Poales; Bromeliaceae. The record is from RNAcentral.
GCCGCCGCCAUGGCCCGCUCCUCCUCGGACCAUAGCCUCCCCAUCACCAUUAAAGCAACCCUCUUCCUCCUCCCUCCUCCCUCCUCCCUCCUCAAUAGUCAAUAGUUAAUUCCUCCCCCUCCACCACUCACAAUCAAACCCUAAUCCGACCUUCUAACUACGACUGUAUCCGGCGGGGGGUAAUUAUUAAGGAAUAGCUUAAAAGAGGAGACGAAAUGGAAUCGGAGGGGGGCUAGAGUCAUUCGUUUGAGGAUCUCUUUUUCCGCAAGGUGUUACUUGUUAGGGGGCGGGCUAGGGUUUAAUCUCGCCUCCUCCUCCUCCUCCUCCUCUUCCUCCUCUUCCUCCUACUCGCGUUUCGCGUAAAAUUCGUGGAAACGAGGCGAGGCGGAGGAGUGCGUUAGGCGGAACCAAGUCGGCGAGGGCUUGGAUUUAAAUACGCGUGUCAGCACCUCGCUCCUCCUCGAACCACUACAAUACACCGCACCGACCGCCAGUUAUCCUUAGACCCGGUCUACAGACCCCGAGGAGCAUCGAGCGGAAUCAGUAGCUUUUGGAGGCGGUUCGAAAAUGACGUGGUCCACCGGGUACAAACAACACUGUGGCGCUGCGAGCGACUGGCGAGCCGCGUGCUCGCCCACUAGCGUUUACACCGAGCCGAUCCGCGCUGUGGAGUGUGGACCGAAUAUGGUUUUACAUGGGCUUAUUUGGGUCCUACUUCGCAGAUGGGCCCCAGUCCUGUGCGACGGUUACAUAUCACGUUUGUUGGGGUCCCACAGGUCAUUUUCACAAUUUUGAUUCGAGCGCGUUACCCCGUAGAUUUUUGGGCCGCUGCACAUGUUCGUGAGCCGUUGGUGCGCGUUACAUUGUAGAUUCAUGCGGCAUCGUACGCCAGUUGGUGAGCUUGUCUUUAAAAAAAAAAAAAAAAACACAUUGUGCGCAUGCAUAAUAUAAAAUAUAGUUGUGUUGAAAAUUUGGUACUUCUUCUUAAACAUAUUGAGAUUCUGUAACAGAAACAUUGAAUCAAAUUUUUACUAUAAAUCUGUCUCCUCAAAUAUGAUAUAAUUAUAAAAAAAAAUAAAAUAAUAUACGAAUAAAAUAAGAUUUACUAAAUAAAAAAAAAUUAUAUCUGAAUCCUCUUCUGUAACAGAGCAAUGUCAAUCUUUUUAAAUCUAUCGUAUCUGUUUCUCGUCUUUUAUAAACCAAAAAAACUACUCUUUUUUUUUUUUUUUUUUUUUUUUUUUUUUUUCUCCUCCCUUNGCCCGGGGCCCCAACACCGCCGCCGCCAUGGCCCGCUCCUCCUCGGACCAUAGCCUCCCCAUCACCAUUAAAGCAACCCUCUUCCUCCUCCCUCCUCCCUCCUCCCUCGUCAAUAGUCAAUAGUUAAUUCCUCCCCCUCCUCCACCGCUCACAAUCAAACCCUAAUCCGACCUUCUAACUACGACUGUAUCCGGCGGGGGGUAAUUAUUAAGGAAUAGCUUAAAAGAGGAGACGAAAUGGAAUCGGAGGGGGGCUAGAGUCAUUCGUUUGAGGAUCUCUUUUCCCGCAAGGUGUUACUUGUUAGGGGGCGGGCUAGGGUUUAAUCUCGCCUCCUCCUCCUCCUCCUCUUCCUCCUCUUCCUCCUACUCGCGUUUCGCGUAAAAUUCGUGGAAACGAGGCGAGGCGGAGGAGCGCGUUAGGGCGGAACCAAGUCGGCGAGGGC